This 163-nucleotide ribosomal RNA is filed under the name Mesosetum loliiforme. Its description in RNAcentral is "5.8S ribosomal RNA". The stretch from base 1 to 136 matches the Rfam family "5.8S ribosomal RNA", at positions 21 to 154 of the family's 154-position model. From Rfam's summary of the family: 5.8S ribosomal RNA (5.8S rRNA) is a component of the large subunit of the eukaryotic ribosome. It is transcribed by RNA polymerase I as part of the 45S precursor that also contains 18S and 28S rRNA. Functionally, it is thought that 5.8S rRNA may be involved in ribosome translocation. The record is from RNAcentral. Lineage: Eukaryota; Viridiplantae; Streptophyta; Magnoliopsida; Poales; Poaceae.
UUGGCUCUCGCAUCGAUGAAGAACGUAGCAAAAUGCGAUACCUGGUGUGAAUUGCAGAAUCCCGCGAACCAUCGAGUUUUUGAACGCAAGUUGCGCCCGAGGCCUUCUGGCUGAGGGCACGCCUGCCUGGGCGUCACGCCACAAGACACUCUCANACCCAUCC